Rhopalosiphum padi (bird cherry-oat aphid) is the source of this 594-nucleotide long non-coding RNA. RefSeq lists it as uncharacterized. The record is from RefSeq and is a predicted model, not a curated record. Lineage: Eukaryota; Metazoa; Arthropoda; Insecta; Hemiptera; Aphididae. The transcript has 2 exons.
CAACCUCACACAAUACAAGCCGCGGAGAUACAAUAUUUUAUUUAAAACUCAAGUAUCAAAUAAUAGGAAAUGUAUUAAUAUUACUGUAGAUAUUAGAUGGAGAAUGGACUGGUGUAGCUGAAAAAUUAAUUAAUCUUUCAAUGUCAAAACUUCAAAUGGAAAUAAUAGACCUACAGGAAGAUGUUUCAUUGAAGCAGUACAGAAGUGCGAUAACUGAAGAAUUCUGGACUAAGGAUGACAUUAACAAGUAUUCAAACUGUAAGCAACUGGCAAUCAACUUGGCUACGAUGUUUGUUCAACAUACGUUUAUGAGAGGCAUCAUUUUCAAAAAUUAAUUUUUGAAAAACAAAUAUCGGACAAAAUUAACACUUUCACCUUGAGGAAACAUUACGCAUAUGCUAGAAAUACAAUUUUUCGCAUUCAAUUUCUUGGUAAACUAUUAUUAUUAUUAUUAUAAAAAAUUAUCAUUAUUUACCUAAUAUUGUAAUUAGAAUAAUCUAAAAUCUAAAUGACUGUAAUAACUAGAUAAUUUUUUUACUUUCAUACUCCUAGAAUUGUAAUUUUUAAUAAAAAUUAAUUGUAAUAACUAAAUAA